This 482-nucleotide ribosomal RNA is filed under the name uncultured bacterium. Its description in RNAcentral is "partial 16S ribosomal RNA". It matches the Rfam family "Bacterial small subunit ribosomal RNA", at positions 30 to 507 of the family's 1533-position model. The record is from RNAcentral.
AUUGAACGCUGGCGGCAUGCUUUACACAUGCAAGUCGAACGGUAACAGGCCGCAAGGUGCUGACGAGUGGCGAACGGGUGAGUAAUGCAUCGGAACGUGCCCAGUCGUGGGGGAUAACUACUCGAAAGAGUAGCUAAUACCGCAUACGAUCUAUGGAUGAAAGCGGGGGACCGUAAGGCCUCGCGCGAUUGGAGCGGCCGAUGUCAGAUUAGGUAGUUGGUGGGGUAAAGGCUCACCAAGCCAACGAUCUGUAGCUGGUCUGAGAGGACGACCAGCCACACUGGGACUGAGACACGGCCCAGACUCCUACGGGAGGCAGCAGUGGGGAAUUUUGGACAAUGGGCGCAAGCCUGAUCCAGCAAUGCCGCGUGCAGGAAGAAGGCCUUCGGGUUGUAAACUGCUUUUGUACGGAACGAAACGGCUCUGGUUAAUACCCGGGGCUAAUGACGGUACCGUGAGAAUAAGCACCGGCUAACUACGUG